CCCAGUGGUAAGUCAGCUGCCCAGUGCUGUGCUGUGCCUGUGCUGGCGUUACACUGCUGGGAAAUGAAUGGUGCUGUUCUCUUACCCUGGCAGUUAACUGUUGCUGUUCUGGUGAUGGUUAAUGAUAAGCCUAGGCAGCACUGUGCAUCCUUGAGUGGGCCACUGUAUUUGUCCAUAUAGGUGGUCCUAGUCUGGUUGCAUACAUG
Molecule: small nucleolar RNA, 206 nt
Organism: Pristis pectinata (smalltooth sawfish)
Lineage: Eukaryota; Metazoa; Chordata; Chondrichthyes; Rhinopristiformes; Pristidae
Product: small nucleolar RNA SNORA74
Exons: 1
Source: RefSeq, a predicted model, not a curated record